RNAcentral lists this unclassified non-coding RNA (173 nucleotides) under soil metagenome. Its description in RNAcentral is "partial internal transcribed spacer 1". The record is from RNAcentral.
UAAUCAAGUGUUUUUAUGGCACUUUCAAAAAUCCAUAUCCACCUUGUGUGCAAUGUCAUCUCUCUGGGGGCUGCCGGCUGUCAAAAGCCCGUGUGGUCACCUUUGGGAUUUAUAUCUACUCAGAACUUUAGUGAUUUUGUCUGAAACAUAUUAUGAAUACUUAAUUCAAAAUA